AUUGAACGCUGGCGGCAGGCCUAACACAUGCAAGUCGAGCGGAUGAAGGGAGCUUGCUCCUGGAUUCAGCGGCGGACGGGUGAGUAAUGCCUAGGAAUCUGCCUGGUAGUGGGGGAUAACGUCCGGAAACGGGCGCUAAUACCGCAUACGUCCUGAGGGAGAAAGUGGGGGAUCUUCGGACCUCACGCUAUCAGAUGAGCCUAGGUCGGAUUAGCUAGUUGGUGGGGUAAAGGCCUACCAAGCCGACGAUCCGUAACUGGUCUGAGAGGAUGAUCAGUCACACUGGAACUGAGACACGGUCCAGACUCCUACGGGAGGCAGCAGUGGGGAAUAUUGGACAGAGGGCGAAAGCCUGAUCCAGCCAUGCCGCGUGUGUGAAGAAGGUCUUCGGAUUGUAAAGCACUUUAAGUUGGGAGGAAGGGCAGUAAGUUAAUACCUUGCUGUUUUGACGUUACCAACAGAAUAAGCACCGGCUAACUUCGUG
RNAcentral lists this ribosomal RNA (484 nucleotides) under uncultured bacterium. Its description in RNAcentral is "partial 16S ribosomal RNA". It matches the Rfam family "Bacterial small subunit ribosomal RNA", at positions 30 to 507 of the family's 1533-position model. The record is from RNAcentral.